AAAAUACAAAGUAUCUUUAUCUUCAUCUUAUCUAAAAAUUAUCUAAGAUGACGUUUUUGUUGCAAAAACGUAUUUGAACAUAUAAACGGUGUUAACGUGUUGAUAUUUUUAAAAAAUCGUGGUAAAUGGCAAAUAAUAAUAUAAGAUAGCUCCAGGCACACCCAAUACUCUUUUCGUUUUCGUGUGCUACAAUACUAAGAGAUAGCAUUGCGAUUGCCUCUCGAGGCGCUCGAGUCACUUUAACCGCGAUAGCGAUUAAGCCUUCAGCCCACGUGAUCUACUGUACUACGCCUUAUUGGCGUAACCUCAAUUUCAGUGCUAUGAUUGGUCGAGUAAUACGGCACCUAGCGGUGCAGACACCGAGUAACAAGAAGACAGGAAGCCCGGCCAUUAUUAGUACACACGUACAGCCUUACAAUAACGAAAAGGAAAAAAGCAUAAAAGCUAAAGACAUGCAGAAAACAAAAACCCCUGUAACCUCAAAUGUUAUAAAAGAGGUGGAAAUCAAUGAUUAUGAUGUUAUUGACAACACGAGUGAAAAUCCUACGCUUUCGACUUCAUUCACGUUACCAUUUAUAUUACAAGGCGAAUUUUUCAAAAUUACAUCGAAAAGUACGGGACAGAAAAUAAUAGCGCAAUGUACAAAUUGUCCCAAAAUUAUAAGUGGUACGAGAACUUCUACAGAAAACUUUGUUAGUCAUUAUAAUAGUUUUGCCACAUAGAUGUGGCAGGAGAAGGGGUAGCGCAUAUCAGCGAAACGCUAGAGCGACGUUGCGAGUCGGUUUUAGCCGGUGAGCGCCCUCAGGACAUUAACGACGUGGAUAUGAACUAUAACCAGUAUCCGAAGGGAGAACGGCUAACCACCAAACGAUGGGACUGGACUACCAAAGACCACCAAACAACCACUAAACAAUACCUAAUUUUUCCUGCUAGUUAGAAGAAAAAUGGCGGACUCGUACAGAAAGAACG
RNAcentral lists this unclassified non-coding RNA (969 nucleotides) under Monomorium pharaonis (pharaoh ant). RNAcentral's name for it is "uncharacterized LOC118646968, transcript variant X2". Lineage: Eukaryota; Metazoa; Arthropoda; Insecta; Hymenoptera; Formicidae. The record is from RNAcentral.